RNAcentral lists this ribosomal RNA (460 nucleotides) under uncultured bacterium. RNAcentral's name for it is "partial 16S ribosomal RNA". It matches the Rfam family "Bacterial small subunit ribosomal RNA", at positions 338 to 795 of the family's 1533-position model. The record is from RNAcentral.
CCUACGGGCGGCUGCAGUGAGGAAUAUUGGUCAAUGGACGAGAGUCUGAACCAGCCAAGUAGCGUGAAGGAUGACUGCCCUAUGGGUUGUAAACUUCUUUUAUAUGGGAAUAAAAUGUUCCACGUGUGGGAUUUUGUAUGUACCAUAUGAAUAAGGAUCGGCUAACUCCGUGCCAGCAGCCGCGGUAAUACGGAGGAUCCGAGCGUUAUCCGGAUUUAUUGGGUUUAAAGGGAGCGUAGGUGGAUUGUUAAGUCAGUUGUGAAAGUUUGCGGCUCAACCGUAAAAUUGCAGUUGAAACUGGCAGUCUUGAGUACAGUAGAGGUGUGCGGAAUUCGUGGUGUAGCGGUGAAAUGCUUAGAUAUCACGAAGAACUCCGAUUGCGAAGGCAGCUCACUGGACUGCAACUGACACUGAAGCACGAAAGCGUGGGGAUCAAACAGGAUUAGAUACCCCUGUAGUC